ACUCAAAUGAAUUGACGGGGGCCCGCACAAGCGGUGGAACAUGUGGUUCAAUUCGAAGCUACGCGAAAAACCUCACCAGGGCUUGACAUGUAGGAAGUAGUGAACUGAAAGGGGAACGACCCGUUAAGUCGGGAGCUUACACAGGUGCUGCAUGGCUGUCGUCAGCUCGUGUCGUGAGAUGUUGGGUUAAGUCCCGCAACGAGCGCAACCAUUGUCCUUUGUUGCCACUUCUCUUGCCGCAAGGUUAAGAGGAAGCACUCUAAGGAGACUGCCCGGGAUAACCGGGAGGAAGGUGGAGAUGACGUCAAGUCAGUACGGCCUUUAUGCCCUGGGCUACACACGUGUUACAAUGGAUGGUACAAAGGGUUGCCAACCCGCGAGGGGGAGCUAAUCUCAAAAAACCAUCCCCAGUUCAGAUCGGAGUCUGCAAUUCGACUCCGUGAAGCCGGAAUCGCUAGUAAUGGUGGAUCAGCACGCCACCGUGAAUACGUUCCCGGGCCUUGCACACACCGCCCGU
This 517-nucleotide ribosomal RNA is filed under the name uncultured bacterium. RNAcentral's name for it is "partial 16S ribosomal RNA". It matches the Rfam family "Bacterial small subunit ribosomal RNA", at positions 899 to 1397 of the family's 1533-position model. The record is from RNAcentral.